Molecule: long non-coding RNA, 153 nt
Organism: Rattus rattus (black rat)
Lineage: Eukaryota; Metazoa; Chordata; Mammalia; Rodentia; Muridae
Exons: 3
Source: RefSeq, a predicted model, not a curated record
ACACAAACAUACAUGCAUACACAAAUGACAGCAACCAUGAACCACAAUUCCCUGUCUACCCACCUUAGAACACCAUGACUGAAGGAAAGCUGUCCUGCCCUUUCCUACUCUUCUGACCUCCAUCCCAUUUACCUUAUCGAGACAUGGUUUCCU